GAUCGACAAUAGCAAACUUGGUGAAAGCCAAGGACGCAAAGCUAUGGGUCUUCCAGGAAACACCUGAUGAUUGCCAAGCUACCGAA
This 86-nucleotide non-coding RNA is filed under the name Desulfitobacterium dichloroeliminans. RNAcentral describes it as "c-di-GMP sequence". It matches the Rfam family "c-di-GMP-I riboswitch aptamer". Rfam says of the family: GEMM was predicted in a large-scale screen for bacterial structured RNA regulatory elements. Genes associated with GEMM are involved in a diverse array of functions, including chemotaxis regulation, signal transduction, secretion and chitin. The record is from RNAcentral. Lineage: Bacteria; Bacillati; Bacillota; Clostridia; Eubacteriales; Desulfitobacteriaceae.